RNAcentral lists this ribosomal RNA (675 nucleotides) under Escherichia coli. RNAcentral describes it as "partial 23S ribosomal RNA". It matches the Rfam family "Bacterial large subunit ribosomal RNA", at positions 419 to 1095 of the family's 2925-position model. Lineage: Bacteria; Pseudomonadati; Pseudomonadota; Gammaproteobacteria; Enterobacterales; Enterobacteriaceae. The record is from RNAcentral.
GGGACACGUGGUAUCCUGUCUGAAUAUGGGGGGACCAUCCUCCAAGGCUAAAUACUCCUGACUGACCGAUAGUGAACCAGUACCGUGAGGGAAAGGCGAAAAGAACCCCGGCGAGGGGAGUGAAAAAGAACCUGAAACCGUGUACGUACAAGCAGUGGGAGCCUCUUAAUGGGGUGACUGCGUACCUUUUGUAUAAUGGGUCAGCGACUUAUAUUCUGUAGCAAGGUUAACCGAAUAGGGGAGCCGAAGGGAAACCGAGUCUUAACUGGGCGUUAAGUUGCAGGGUAUAGACCCGAAACCCGGUGAUCUAGCCAUGGGCAGGUUGAAGGUUGGGUAACACUAACUGGAGGACCGAACCGACUAAUGUUGAAAAAUUAGCGGAUGACUUGUGGCUGGGGGUGAAAGGCCAAUCAAACCGGGAGAUAGCUGGUUCUCCCCGAAAGCUAUUUAGGUAGCGCCUCGUGAAUUCAUCUCCGGGGGUAGAGCACUGUUUCGGCAAGGGGGUCAUCCCGACUUACCAACCCGAUGCAAACUGCGAAUACCGGAGAAUGUUAUCACGGGAGACACACGGCGGGUGCUAACGUCCGUCGUGAAGAGGGAAACAACCCAGACCGCCAGCUAAGGUCCCAAAGUCAUGGUUAAGUGGGAAACGAUGUGGGAAGGCCCAGACAGCCA